RNAcentral lists this ribosomal RNA (492 nucleotides) under uncultured bacterium. RNAcentral's name for it is "partial 16S ribosomal RNA". It matches the Rfam family "Bacterial small subunit ribosomal RNA", at positions 29 to 507 of the family's 1533-position model. The record is from RNAcentral.
AGUGAACGCUGGCGGUAGGCCUAACACAUGCAAGUCGAACGGCAGCACAGUAAGAGCUUGCUCUUACGGGUGGCGAGUGGCGGACGGGUGAGGAAUACAUCGGAAUCUAUUUUUUCGUGGGGGAUAACGUAGGGAAACUUACGCUAAUACCGCAUACGACCUACGGGUGAAAGCAGGGGAUCUUCGGACCUUGCGCGAGUGAAUGACCCGAUGUCGGAUUAGCUAGUUGGCGGGGUAAAGGCCCACCAAGGCGACGAUCCGUAGCUGGUCUGAGAGGAUGACCAGCCACACUGGAACUGAGACACGGUCCAGACUCCUACGGGAGGCAGCAGUGGGGAAUAUUGGACAAUGGGCGCAAGCCUGAUCCAGCCAUACCGCGUGUGUGAAGAAGGCCUUCGGGUUGUAAAGCCCUUUUGUUGGGAAAGAAAAGCAGCAGGUUAAUACCCCGCUGUUCUGACGGUACCCAAAGAAUAAGCACCGGCUAACUUCGUG